This 769-nucleotide ribosomal RNA is filed under the name uncultured bacterium. RNAcentral's name for it is "bacterial SSU rRNA". It matches the Rfam family "Bacterial small subunit ribosomal RNA", at positions 630 to 1397 of the family's 1533-position model. The record is from RNAcentral.
AAACUGGAGGACUUGAGUACAGAAGAGGAGAGUGGAAUUUCCACGUGUAGCGGUGAAAUGCGUAGAGAUGUGGAGGAACACCAGUGGCGNAGGGCGACUCUCUGGUCUGUAACUGACGCUGAGGAGCGAAAGCGUGGGGAGCGAACAGGAUUAGAUACCCUGGUAGUCCACGCCGUAAACGAUGAGUGCUAGGUGUUAGGGGGUUUCCGCCCCUUAGUGCUGAAGUUAACGCAUUAAGCACUCCGCCUGGGGAGUACGGCCGCAAGGCUGAAACUCAAAAGAAUUGACGGGGGCCCGCACAAGCGGUGGAGCAUGUGGUUUAGUUCGAAGCAACGCGAAGAACCUUACCAGGUCUUGACAUCCUCUGAUAGCGAUAGAGAUAUCGUAUUCCCUUCGGGGACAGAGUGACAGGUGGUGCAUGGUUGUCGUCAGCUCGUGUCGUGAGAUGUUGGGUUAUGUCCCGCAACGAGCGCAACCCUUGAUCUUAGUUGCCAGCAUUAAGUUGGGCACUCUAAGGUGACUGCCGGUGAUAAACCGGAGGAAGGUGGGGAUGACGUCAAAUCAUCAUGCCCCUUAUGACCUGGGCUACACACGUGCUACAAUGGAUGGAACAAAGGGCCGCGAAGCCGCGAGGUGAAGCAAAUCCCAUAAAACCAUUCUCAGUUCGGAUUGUAGGCUGCAACUCGCCUACAUGAAGCCGGAAUCGCUAGUAAUCGCGGAUCAGCAUGCCGCGGUGAAUACGUUCCCGGGCCUUGUACACACCGCCCGU